Molecule: long non-coding RNA, 3234 nt
Filed under: Fragaria vesca (wild strawberry)
Lineage: Eukaryota; Viridiplantae; Streptophyta; Magnoliopsida; Rosales; Rosaceae
Description: long non-coding RNA (FVES_LNC001032)
Source: RNAcentral
CGAAACCGAACCGAACCGAACCAUGGUUUGGUUUGGUUUCUAGUUCAAGGUCUCAAAAAAUACCAAACCGAACCGAAUUUUUUAUUCGGUUUGGUUUCUAGUUUUAGAAUUCGGUUCGGUUUCUGGUUUUAGGUGAAAACCGAACCCACCCCUAACUUAGACUAUGUAUAUGACCGGUAUGAAUUCAAGCAUUGGAGAUGAGUUAAAGAUUGAGCAUAAUCAUAUUAGUCAAACUCAUAAUCUGUUAGGAUUUUGAAAUCAGUUUUAAUACAGUUAUAAAGUUUUAUCUGAUUUUAAUUUUUGAAUUAAAAAGCACUUAGAAAGAUAUGACCUUUUCUUGAUGGAAGAAACUGUCAUUGUAUAACUGGUCUAUAUAGUCAGAUUUGGUCCCUGCUGAUACACAAUCGUUUUCUCGUCAAAAGUCCCAUUAACUUAGAGAAUUAUAAAGGUGGAAUCAGGAGAAGAUCACAUUGACGACUUCAGUUCUUGCAACAAGAUGAAAAGGGUCAAGUGCGUCAAUAGGCAGAUAAAAAGUACACCAAGUGCGCUAACAGAAAAUAAGAAGAACGCCAAGACGGACAUAGAUCAAGAUGGAUCACUCAAGUUAUUCAUGUCAGCUUUCAAUUUAUUUAAAUUCCAGAUUUCAAUAAGGAUAGAUAAUGUUGUUGCUAUCCCGAAAACACAGAAAGUUCAAGUUCAUGUAUUCAUUAUGAGAUAGAUUUUAUUAAAUAUCGAAUUCAGUUCUUUCACCAAUGUCUCAUUUGGAACUAUAUAUAUACGAAAAGGUUACUAGCUAGAGGCUGCCAACUAUUGUCCAUUCUUAGUUCCCAUCAAAGGUUAGCUAGCUAGCCAGUGACGGAGCCAGCCCAGUCUUGACCGGGCUGGAGCCUAGGUAAGAUUUGAAACUCAAAAAACACCUGCAUCAAUCUAUAUUUUAGGCGCGUGUGAGGAAGGUGGGAAGUGAGGGAGGACACAGAGAGUGAGGGAGUCAAGCCAGUCAAGCCAGCUUUGUUUGACAAAGUCAACCCCACAGUUUACACCUAAUUACUGUGAUUAGACGAUUUUGGCUUUAUAUAAUUGGAAAAUGCUCAUUUAAUAGGGCUGCUACUUGCUAAUUAGGAUUGAGUUAGUCUAACGUCUUUACGCUAAUGGCUUCGUGCUUAGUAGCCACUCUUUAUGGCCGGUGGUGGUUAAUUAGUAGCCUUUCACCUUAAAAUUGAUUUUUGACUCUUAAUGCUUCUUUACAUUGUAAAAUGAAUAACCAAAGGCUGUCAAACGUAAUUAACAAUACAAAUACAUAAGCAUUACAAAUUAAAAAUGACGGUUUAAGAAUCUUAAAAGGUUAGAAAACUAGUAAAGAGUCAUCUAGAUAACGCUAGGAAAAUCAUUUAAAUCCAUUAGAUAACGCUUGAUGAAGCCAUCUUGUUUAGAACCUUCUGAAAUAACUGUAACAUCUCGUGAGUCAUAUUGUUUUAAAUCUCAUACAUAUAUCUCCUAUAUCUAUAUACGUGUGUGUGUGUUUUUUUUUUUUAAUUAACCAAAAUUUCUCACGUCGUUAAGUUUCAUUGAUUUAUUUUUUUUCGUGUGUUGCUAUUAAUCUAGGUGACUUUUUCAUCUGGCUCCACCCCUAUAGCUAGCUAGGAUUGAAUGUACGUUCAUUUUGAUCGAGACGGCAACCUGGUGGAGUUCUCGUGCCCUAGCUAGAUAUAUAGAUGCAACCAAACCCUAGCUAAUACGCUCGCAACUCCAAUAAUUAGAUAUUCAAACAUCGAUUCAUCCAACAAGCCAGCGAGAUCCCGGUCCGUACCUGCAGCCUGCACUCGCAUCUCUUAUCAGCUAUCACCCAACAUUAAACAUUGAUUUUCAUUUUAAAUAUGAUUAUGUGUUUCUCACUUCAACUAAUUUCAUGGGCCGGCAGCGUUUCUUCAACUAAUUUAUAUGGAUAUGCUAAAUUGUACAUCAAAGUACACAAAAUUCAUAUUGUCAUCCAUCCAUGACCUGUCUUAUAAUGAAGUUUAGCUAUCAUGUCAUCUUCACUAAUUUAAUUUCAGAAGAUUAGAAGGUGAAGGUCUUUGCCUAAAUCUAUUACCUGUGGAUGAAGGAGACUGAAUGAAAACUAAAACAUCAUGUUAUUCAGUCAUUGUACAGCACUGCUUAUAAUAAGGACCUUUAUCCUAUUUGUGAGGGGAAAAGCAUCUAUUUUGGUCAAUUACGACUCAAAUUUGGUUUGUUUUAACUUCUAUUUUGAAAUAACCACUUCACUUAGAGAUGAAGUCCAUGUAAUGUCAUAUCACUUUGUUCAUAUAUCAUAACACUUCAUAAGAGAAGUUUUACUGAAAUUAAAUACUUAAAAUAGUCUUAAUUACGUCAAAUUACUAACCAUCAUCUCAUACGAACAUACUACUAUAUCUACUAGAUUUUAGGGCCAAUUACAUAUAAGUCCACUUUGAGACAUUUUUUCCCACAUAGAUCCACCCCAACAUUUUUACCCACAUAAGUCCACCCAAGUCUAAAUAAGGUUUUGUAUUAAGUAUUGAAGUUCAACAUAAUUACAGACUGCCAUCCAACAAAAAAAAUUAGAUUUUCUCCUUUAUAUUUAUAAGAAUGCCACUAGUAUAAAAAGUCAACAACCACUCUUAUUUCGGAACAGUCUCCGGCGGACCUCCGGCGAGAUUUCCAGCGGACCUCCGGUGAGGUUUCCGGCCGACCUUCGGCGAGGUUUCCGGCCGACCUCCGGCGAGGUUUCCGGCCGACCUCCGACGAUGACAAAAAUUACUACUACCAGCUAAAAAAGCUACUACCACCAGCUACAAAAGCUACUACCACCGCCUACAAAAGCUACUACUGUGAGGUUUCUGAUGAAAACAAAAAGCUACUACCACCAGCGACAAAAGCUACUACCACCAGCUACAAAAGCUACUACCACCGCCUACAAAGCUACUACUGUGAGGUUUUCGACGAACACAAAACUACUACCACCAGCGACAAAAGCUACUACCACCAGCUACAAAAGCUACUACCACCGCUUACAAAAGCUACUACUGUGAGGUUUCCGAGGAACACAAAAACUACUAUCACCAACCACAAAAGCUACUACCACUAGCUACAAAAGCUACUACCACCGUCUACAAAAGCUACUACUGUGAGGUUUCCAAUGAACACAAAAGCUACUACCACAAACUACUACCACCAACCACAAAAGCUACUACCACAAGCUACAAAAGCUACUNNNNN